RNAcentral lists this non-coding RNA (148 nucleotides) under Phaseolus vulgaris (common bean). RNAcentral describes it as "rRNA SSU_rRNA_eukarya". It matches the Rfam family "Eukaryotic small subunit ribosomal RNA", at positions 1189 to 1467 of the family's 1831-position model. The record is from RNAcentral. Lineage: Eukaryota; Viridiplantae; Streptophyta; Magnoliopsida; Fabales; Fabaceae.
CUUAAUUUGACUCAACACGGGGAAACUUACCAGGUCCAGACAUAGUAAGGAUUGACAGACUGAGAGCUCUUUCUUGAUUCUAUGGGUGGUGGAGAGAAUGAUUAGUAUCUUCUUCUCUAUUAAAUAAAAAAUUAAAUAUAUUUAACUG